Molecule: ribosomal RNA, 442 nt
Filed under: Salmonella enterica subsp. enterica serovar Infantis
Lineage: Bacteria; Pseudomonadati; Pseudomonadota; Gammaproteobacteria; Enterobacterales; Enterobacteriaceae
Also listed under: 1 other name
Description: partial 23S ribosomal RNA
Rfam family: Bacterial large subunit ribosomal RNA
Source: RNAcentral
AAUCCAUAGGUUAAUGAGGCGAACCGGGGGAACUGAAACAUCUAAGUACCCCGAGGAAAAGAAAUCAACCGAGAUUCCCCCAGUAGCGGCGAGCGAACGGGGAGGAGCCCAGAGCCUGAAUCAGCAUGUGUGUUAGUGGAAGCGUCUGGAAAGGCGCGCGAUACAGGGUGACAGCCCCGUACACAAAAGCGCAUGUGCUGUGAGCUCGAUGAGUAGGGCGGGACACGUGGUAUCCUGUCUGAAUAUGGGGGGACCAUCCUCCAAGGCUAAAUACUCCUGACUGACCGAUAGUGAACCAGUACCGUGAGGGAAAGGCGAAAAGAACCCCGGCGAGGGGAGUGAAAAAGAACCUGAAACCGUGUACGUACAAGCAGUGGGAGCCCCACCACCAAAGCAUUCUCUGGUGUUGAAGGCCCUGCAAAGCAGCAUCGCGGUGGCGGAG